AUGUUGGAUAGAUAAUUGAUUAAUGGUUGUGUUAUGAUGAAUUUGUAAUAUAUUUAUUUACUUUUAGUAUAUUUAAAUUUCCUAAUUCAAGCUUGUUAUUUGGGUUAUAAUAUGUGAAUCUUUAAUUUUUUAUCAUUGAAUUGAAUUAUAAAAAUAGGGAGCUUGUUAUUUGGGUUAUAAUAUGUAAAUUUUUAAUUUUUUAU
Molecule: long non-coding RNA, 203 nt
Filed under: Manihot esculenta (cassava)
Lineage: Eukaryota; Viridiplantae; Streptophyta; Magnoliopsida; Malpighiales; Euphorbiaceae
Description: long non-coding RNA (MESC_LNC002693)
Source: RNAcentral